UCAUAGGUCCUCUCCGGUCUCACAGCCUA
RNAcentral lists this small RNA (29 nucleotides) under Bombyx mori (domestic silkworm). RNAcentral's name for it is "ovarian small RNA-25943". Lineage: Eukaryota; Metazoa; Arthropoda; Insecta; Lepidoptera; Bombycidae. The record is from RNAcentral.